CUACUAAUGUUAAGCAAUGAAUGAAGAAAUGUCCCUCCUAUUCCCGGGAUUGGGGGGCAUCCUCUGUGCUGGCAGCUUCCCCGGCACGUCUGUUUUAUGAUCUAUCAUUUCCGUCUCCUGACUCUCCUUGUUAAAUGGAUAACAGGCUGAGAACGUCCAACAAGGAAGGAUCAGCUCCAGGUAUUGCCCCAGCAUUAAUUGAAAAGGGGGUUGCCACUUCCUUCAGACUGGAGACACCAGUGGACCUUGAUAGAAGACAGCUGAAUGAAGAUGCCAUGUUCUUGUUUGAGGAGGACGGUGAAAAUGUAAUAUGAGAAAAAUUGAGAUACAUUUCCACUUACAAACAACUUUCAGCAAAUGUCACCACAUCAGCACAGCCGAUUGAUGCAUUAAUGCCUGAAGAAAAGCCACUUACGUUCAAGUUAAUGUUAUUAAAAAUUUGUGAGUAAAGUAUGUAAGUUCAGACAUAUACUGUGUUAUUUAUUUUAUUUAAUUUUCCUUUUACAGCCCAUUGUGUACUACAAAAUGCAGAACAACAGGAAGGGCCGGCUGUCACCCUGA
This is a long non-coding RNA of Rana temporaria (common frog), 561 nucleotides long. RefSeq lists it as uncharacterized. The transcript has 3 exons. NCBI's taxonomy places the organism in Eukaryota, Metazoa, Chordata, Amphibia, Anura, Ranidae. The record is from RefSeq and is a predicted model, not a curated record.